Glycine soja is the source of this 773-nucleotide long non-coding RNA. RefSeq lists it as uncharacterized. The transcript has 2 exons. NCBI's taxonomy places the organism in Eukaryota, Viridiplantae, Streptophyta, Magnoliopsida, Fabales, Fabaceae. The record is from RefSeq and is a predicted model, not a curated record.
UCGUAAAACCAUCUUAGAAAUUAGUGUUUUUAUUUUUAAACUCUUUGUCUCCCCUCUCGUGUUUCUCACUGUCUUCCUCUCUUUGUUUCUUACUCUUCCUCUCACUCUCUAACUCUUUCCUUCUCACUCUCCACUGCCAACGCCACUACCACCGCCAUCGUCACCGCCUCAUGUUCAACCUUAACCUCAACCUCAGUAAGAACAACAACCAUAAUAGCAGACACAGCAAGGGAUGGUUCCAUCACAGGCGUCGUCAUCGUUUCAGAUACUAUCUUUGCUUGUGUCGUUGGGGUGUUUGAAUUUGUUGCUGGCAUCCUACCCUAUGCUGUCGUCGGGGCUUCUAUUUUCCCCAACCUCCUGUCAGUUAGGGUUUCCACAGCUUUUGCUUUCGCCCACUGUGCCGCUUCCGCUUUCACUUCCACUUUUGCAACAACACAAAAGCACUUGCUCUCAUCUUCAAUGGACAAAACUGUGCGGCUGUGGCAUCUAUCCAACAAGUCUUGUUUGAAAACAUUUUCACACAAUGACUAUGGUGAGUAAAUUCAAUGAUUACAUGUUGCAGUGCUCUUGUCUUUGCUCUCCCAUAAUCUAAGUAGAAGUCAUAUGGGAUACUUAUGAUAAAAUGACGGAACACUCUUACACUUUUAUUUAUUUUUACUCUUUAUCCAUAUUUCUUCUGCUUCUUCCCUACCAAAAAUUGAAUUAGAUUCCGAGUUCAUCCUAUCCCUAUUCAAUAUACUUCAAUAUACAUCCCGUCUUUGAGGAUUGGACAA